RNAcentral lists this non-coding RNA (255 nucleotides) under Brevibacillus panacihumi. RNAcentral's name for it is "T-box sequence". It matches the Rfam family "T-box leader". Rfam says of the family: Uncharged tRNA acts as the effector for transcription antitermination of genes in the T-box leader family. T-boxes are found upstream of many aminoacyl-tRNA synthetase genes and some amino acid biosynthetic genes usually in Gram-positive bacteria. The anticodon of a specific tRNA base pairs to a specifier sequence within the T-box motif, and the NCCA acceptor tail of the tRNA base pairs to a conserved bulge in the T-box antiterminator hairpin. Lineage: Bacteria; Bacillati; Bacillota; Bacilli; Caryophanales; Paenibacillaceae. The record is from RNAcentral.
GUAUAAUCGUGGAUGAGGAGAGUACUCCGUGUGAGAUGCUGUAGCGAGUCGGGGAUGGUGAAAGCCCGAUGCGGACCAUGAGAGGAAGCGCCCCUCGGAGAUGCUGCCUGAAUGUCUGCCGUUUUGUCCGGCAGAUUGCGUAGGGUUUAGCCGGGACUGCCCGUUAUUGCAGAUCAAGCGGUCUUUGCCCCCAAGAAGACAUUGGGCAGGGACAACAAGAGUGGCACCGCGGGAGCACAACCUCUCGUCUCUUUU